AAUCAAGUAUAGAAGGUCCUACCUGCCCAGUGACUAAGUUAAACGGCCGCGGUAUUUUGACCGUGCAAAGGUAGCGCAAUCACUUGUCUUUUAAAUGAAGACCUGUAUGAAUGGUGAAACGAGGGCUUAACUGUCUCCCCUUUCUAAUCAGUGAAAUUGAUCUACCCGUGCAGAAGCGGGUAUAAAUAUACAAGACGAGAAGACCCUAUGGAGCUUAAGACAAAAAAUCAACUGUGCUACCCUAAUGAGGAUAAAGCAAAACAGCAAUGAUCAACCGUCUUCGGUUGGGGCGACCACGGGGGAUAACCGAUCCCCCACGUGGAGAGGGAAAACCCUAAAACCACGAGGCACACCUCUAAGUCACAGAACAUCUGACCUAAAGAUCCGACAUCUAGUCGAUCAACGGACCAAGUUACCCUAGGGAUAACAGCGCAAUCCCCUCCAAGAGCUCAUAUCGACAAGGGGGUUUACGACCUCGAUGUUGGAUCAGGACAUCCUAAUGGUGCAGCCGCUAUUAAGGGUUCGUUUGUUCAACGAUUAAAGUC
RNAcentral lists this ribosomal RNA (545 nucleotides) under Makunaima multidens. Its description in RNAcentral is "partial 16S ribosomal RNA". It matches the Rfam family "Bacterial large subunit ribosomal RNA", at positions 1837 to 2595 of the family's 2925-position model. Lineage: Eukaryota; Metazoa; Chordata; Actinopteri; Characiformes; Acestrorhamphidae. The record is from RNAcentral.